Molecule: ribosomal RNA, 253 nt
Filed under: uncultured Candidatus Rokubacteria bacterium
Lineage: Bacteria; Candidatus Rokuibacteriota
Description: partial 16S ribosomal RNA
Rfam family: Bacterial small subunit ribosomal RNA
Source: RNAcentral
GACAGAGGGGGCAAGCGUUGCUCGGAAUUACUGGGCGUAAAGGGCGCGUAGGCGGGAUGGCAAGUCGGUCGUGAAAUCCCUCGGCUCAACCGAGGAACGUCGAUCGAUACUGCCGUUCUUGAGGGUUGCAGAGGAGACUGGAAUUCCCGGUGUAGCGGUGAAAUGUGUAGAGAUCGGGAGGAACACCGGUGGCGAAGGCGGGUCUCUGGGCAAUUCCUGACGCUGAGGCGCGAAAGCGUGGGGAGCAAACGGG